RNAcentral lists this ribosomal RNA (279 nucleotides) under Triticum aestivum (bread wheat). RNAcentral describes it as "partial small subunit ribosomal RNA". The record is from RNAcentral. Lineage: Eukaryota; Viridiplantae; Streptophyta; Magnoliopsida; Poales; Poaceae.
GUUUUGUUCCGAAGCAAAGAUAUCCACGGAGGCCAGUUCGUUCGUCCUAUUCUGAUAUUCAGGACCAAGAGGUACUGGAUUCUCUUUCGGAUAGGCCCUGAAAGGAGAAGAAAGGCUGAAAUACCAACGGACCUCUGUCUAUUCUCUAAUUCACCCGAUCCGAUAGUACCCGUUUUUGGAACGUCCAAUGCCAAAGUCACUGAAUGGGUAAGUCACCAAUCCAAUCCCUUUGACAAAUCGGAUGUCAUAUUAGAUAUCAUCCGAUUCUCCUUCUAUUGA